GCUAGUCCUGGUUCUGAAUACUUUGUGCACAGAGUGGGAGAGGGUAAGAGAUCUAACUUUACACCAGUCAUUGGCAGUAUUUGUUCCUGUGGCCACAGCUUUGGUUCGUCUAUCUCGUAAUUGAAAGUUUGGUGUAAAAACUAGUUUACUAGAUAGACGAUAUUUGUGUUUUGUGAGAGUGUGGAUCGCGGAACAGUAACUAAAACUAACUAGAUUUGUAACUGAAGGAACUGAUGUUCCGCUAAGAAUUAUGUCGGAUAUUGGUGCAGGAUUACGAUCGGUCACACGUCAAGUCAGCUGACAUAUUGCGCCCUGCUACACCGCAACAGCUCUUGCCUGGUUCUUGAUUCGUUCCAUUCGCUUUGCACUCUUCUCUUAAUCCUCUAUCUUGGCGUUUCUCUUCAUAAAAAGAUGUCCGACGCAACGUAGAAUACAUAUUACAUGGGACAAAGGAAACAACGCAAUUUCUGACUAGGUUCCUCAGAUUGAAGUAAUAUCGAGCGCUCGAGCGCGAAGUUGCAUACAAAGAGCGAGAAAGAGAGAGAACGAGAAGGAAAGAAGGAAGAGAGAAAGAGUUAUUUGGUAACAUUUCGUUUUAGUUGUGGAGAGAGAGAAGGGUCUUAAGAGACAAAGCGAACGCGCGCAUCGAGAGUGGCUAAAGCGAGAAUUGCGCCGCCGAGAAUUACAAAGCACAAGUCAGAAGGGAAGAGAGCUCCCCCGACCGACGGUCGACUAUCGGUCGUAACUGCACGUCAUCUAACGUGUCUUAACACGAUAAGGAUAGACGGAGAACCUAC
Molecule: long non-coding RNA, 797 nt
Filed under: Apis florea (little honeybee)
Lineage: Eukaryota; Metazoa; Arthropoda; Insecta; Hymenoptera; Apidae
Description: uncharacterized LOC105735097, transcript variant X2
Source: RNAcentral